GGCGGCACGAUAACACAUGCAAGUCGAACGGAGUAUAUUGUAGCUUGCUAUGGUAUAACUUAGUGGCAGACGGGUGAGUAAUGUAUAGGAAUCUACCUAGUAGUACGGGAUAAUUGUUGGAAACGGCAACUAAUACCGUAUACGCCCUACGGGGAAAAAUUUAUUGCUAUUAGAUGAGCCUAUAUUAGAUUAGCUAGUUGGUGGGGUAAUAGCCUACCAAGGCAAUGAUCUAUAGCUGAUCUGAGAGGAUGAUCAGCCACACUGGAACUGAGAUACGGUCCAGACUCCUACGGGAGGCAGCAGUGGGGAAUAUUGGACAAUGGGCGAAAGUGAUCCAGCCAUGCCGCAUGAGUGAAGAAGGCCUUUGGGUUGUAAAGCUCUUUUAGUGAGGAAGAUAAUGACGGUACUCACAGAAGAAGUCCUGGCUAACUCCGUGCCAGCAGCCGCGGUAAUACGGAGAGGGCUAGCGUUAUUCGGAAUUAUUGGGCGUAAAGGGCGCGUAGGUGGUUAAUAAGUUAAAAGUGAAAUCCCAAGGCUUAACCUUGGAAUUGCUUUUAAAACUAUUAAUCUAGAGAUUGAAAGAGGAUAGAGGAAUUCCUCAUGUAGAGGUAAAAUUCGUAAAUAUGAGCAUGAUUCGUUUGGUGUAGUUUUUAUUUUCUCCAAUUUCUUAA
RNAcentral lists this ribosomal RNA (671 nucleotides) under Wolbachia endosymbiont of Coccinella undecimpunctata. Its description in RNAcentral is "bacterial SSU rRNA". It matches the Rfam family "Bacterial small subunit ribosomal RNA", at positions 38 to 745 of the family's 1533-position model. The record is from RNAcentral. Lineage: Bacteria; Pseudomonadati; Pseudomonadota; Alphaproteobacteria; Rickettsiales; Anaplasmataceae.